AACCGUUCAUGCAAACUCAGAUGGACUCUCCAUCUCUGUGGAUAGGAGUGCUCUUCUCUUCCUGACAUAGAGGACUCUUGGAUAGGUGUCCCGUGGCCGAUGCUAGAGCAGACUGAGGGCCCCGUGGGUUCCAGUACCAGCAUGGCUCCUUCAACCUGGAAUUGCAACAGGCUACAGAGUCAAGGCCAUGUGCACAAGACUUCCAGCUUUUCCAGGGACCCCGGCGGGCGACGGAGGCACGCAUUCUUCUCAGAUCUGCACAUUUGUUCUAGAGUCUGGAGCAGAAUUCCUGAAGUCAAGGGAGAUCACAGUCAAUGACCACUGACCAAGAGCCCUUGGACAUGACCCUGGACUUCUCCUCAAACUCCCAAGCCACUGGCCAACUCACUCUUUUCUGGAGAGAUGGACUUUUGAAAAAAACGAGGUGUUUGGAUUUUACUUUAUCAUCUGGCUUCCUUCUGACACU
Molecule: long non-coding RNA, 466 nt
Organism: Marmota flaviventris (yellow-bellied marmot)
Lineage: Eukaryota; Metazoa; Chordata; Mammalia; Rodentia; Sciuridae
Source: RefSeq, a predicted model, not a curated record